This 468-nucleotide ribosomal RNA is filed under the name uncultured bacterium. Its description in RNAcentral is "partial 16S ribosomal RNA". It matches the Rfam family "Bacterial small subunit ribosomal RNA", at positions 28 to 507 of the family's 1533-position model. The record is from RNAcentral.
GAUGAACGCUGGCGGCGUGCUUAACACAUGCAAGUCGAACGGAAAGGCCAGUGCUUGCACUGGUACUCGAGUGGCGAACGGGUGAGUAACACGUGGGUGAUCUGCCCUGCACUUCGGGAUAAGCCUGGGAAACUGGGUCUAAUACCGGAUAGGACAAUGGUUUGGAUGCCGUUGUGGAAAGUUUUUUCGGUGUGGGAUGAGCUCGCGGCCUAUCAGCUUGUUGGUGGGGUAAUGGCCUACCAAGGCGUCGACGGGUAGCCGGCCUGAGAGGGUGUACGGCCACAUUUGGACGGGGAUACGGCCCAGAGUCCUACGGGAGGCAGCAGUGGGGAAUAUUGCACAAUGGGCGCAAGCCUGAGGCAGCGACGCCGCGUGGGGGAUGACGGCCUUCGGGUUGUAAACUCCUGUCGCUAGGGACGAAGCGUAUUUGUGACGGUACCUGGAGAAGAAGCACCGGCUAACUACGUG